This 519-nucleotide ribosomal RNA is filed under the name uncultured eukaryote. RNAcentral's name for it is "bacterial SSU rRNA". It matches the Rfam family "Eukaryotic small subunit ribosomal RNA", at positions 1161 to 1633 of the family's 1831-position model. The record is from RNAcentral.
AGGGCACCACCAGGAGUGGAGCCUGCGGCUUAAUUUGACUCAACACGGGGAAACUCACCCGGCCCGGACACUGGAAGGAUUGACAGACUGAGAGCUCUUUCUUGAUUUGGUGGGUGGUGGUGCAUGGCCGUUCUUAGUUGGUGGAGUGAUUUGUCUGCUUAAUUGCGAUAACGAACGAGACUCCCGCCUACUUAAUACGUUCACGGGGUGGUCGUGCUUGCUGUGGGGGGCGCUCACGCGCUCUCCGCUCUCGCGCGGCCCUCAACCGUGAGACUUCUUAGAGGGACUGGCGGUGUUUUAGCCGCACGAAGUUUGGAGCAAUAACAGGUCUGUGAUGCCCUUAGAUGUCCGGGGCCGCACGCGCGCAACACUGAAAGGUGAAGCGUGUUAGUUUCUCACUUCGCGUGGGAGGCCUGCGCCGAAAGGCGUGGGGAACCCGUGCAACCCCUUUCGUGAUGGGGAUAGGGGCUUGUAAUUGUUGCCCUUGAACGAGGAAUUCCUAGUAGGCGCGAUUCAUCC